Molecule: ribosomal RNA, 713 nt
Filed under: Andryala laevitomentosa
Lineage: Eukaryota; Viridiplantae; Streptophyta; Magnoliopsida; Asterales; Asteraceae
Description: eukaryotic LSU rRNA
Rfam family: 5.8S ribosomal RNA (bases 294-449)
Source: RNAcentral
UUUCCGUAGGUGAACCUGCGGAAGGAUCAUUGUCGAACCCUGCAAAGCAGAACGACCCGUGAACUUGUACCAACAACUGGGAGACGGGGAGACGGACCUCGGUCUGGAUCCCCGCCACCCUCCCGGCUUUCGUUCAUGAUGUUCCCGUGCGGGUCGUCAUGGAUGUCAUGUCGGAAACAUAACAACCCCCGGCACGGAAUGUGCCAAGGAAAACAACAARUGAGAAGGACGCAUCCGGUGUUUGCUCCGUUCGCGGUGUGCAUCCGGGAUGCGGCCUCCUUGAAAUCACAAACGACUCUCGGCAACGGAUAUCUCGGCUCACGCAUCGAUGAAGAACGUAGCAAAAUGCGAUACUUGGUGUGAAUUGCAGAAUCCCGUGAACCAUCGAGUUUUUGAACGCAAGUUGCGCCCGAAGCCAUCCGGUCGAGGGCACGCCUGCCUGGGCGUCACGYAUCGCGUCGCCCCCACCAACCAUCCCCAUGUGGAUUCUUGGCAUCGGGGCGGAGAUUGGCCUCCCAUGCUUCUGGCGUGGUUGGCCUAAACUGGAGUCCCCUUCGGUGGACGCACGACUAGUGGUGGUUGWAAAGACCCUCGUCCUGUGUCRUGCGUCCUAAGCUGUGAGGGAUGCGCUCGAGAAAGACCCACAUGUGUCGUUUCACGACGAUGCUUCGACCGCGACCCCAGGUCAGGCGGGACUACCCGCUGAGUUUAAG